This 1502-nucleotide long non-coding RNA is filed under the name Glycine max (soybean). RNAcentral's name for it is "long non-coding RNA (GMAX_LNC002108)". The record is from RNAcentral. Lineage: Eukaryota; Viridiplantae; Streptophyta; Magnoliopsida; Fabales; Fabaceae.
UCAAAUUCAUAAUUAACUUCACGAUUCUAUUUGCAACCAAACAACAGUUAUAAAAGAAAUAAUUCCAAAACUUAAAGCAAAGGAUGAGAGUUGUGUCUCUCCAAAGCCAUUCUCACAUAGCCAUUUAAAGCUUCUCCUCUCUGUCAUCCAACCAAUUUAAUACUUGAACUUUCUUCAUGUAUAACAAAUAUAUAAAAAUACCAUACAACAAUUACAACGAUAACAUCAACUCCUUAUAUAACCUUAAAGUCAACAAAAGAAUACACUUUCUCUGCACUAAACUUCAACUUGUAUCUGGAUAAGCUAUGAGAUAAAUCCAAAGUCGUUGCAACCUCAACCUCAUCCAAAAUCUGAACAAAAACACUUUAUUAAAAUAUUAAAUUAAAAAAAGUCAGCAAACAUGAAGUCUAAAUUCAGUUUAAUUUAACUAUCCCAUAUAUGAAAUAUUUACUACUUUUUGCUUCAUAGAGAAAUAAAGGGAAAAAAUUGAAGCUUUUCACAUGAACCACAUUUAGAGAAACCCUUCUAUAUAUCAAAAAGAAAAAAAAAGAAAAUUUUAGAAAAUAACAAAGAUUCAUUAACCAAUAAUCAUAGAUAUCAGAAAUGCAAAAGCAUGCUGAAAGUCACCAACAAACAAAAAAGGAAGCUUAAUGCAACAAACAAAAAGCAUGUUGUCAUUGGUUUCUCAACUCAGAUUUGAGAGAAAUUUUUCUAAAACAAUUAUCAUUCAGGACUGAUGCCUCGAGGCACCAUACAGGAUUGGUUGUGGUGUGCCCUGUGGUUCUUCCACUCUGACCUCCCUGCAGUUCAACGUGUAAAAAAUUAGACUGAAGGGAAAAGGAAGGAGAAUUUUGAUUUGUUCAACAGGUUUACAGGAUAUUCCUCCAGAAAUGUCUUUGAUCAUAUCAAAUGGACCUGCAACUCCACCCAUAUAUUCUUAUUUUCAAAUGACAUGGAUAAACUCCAACAGAAUUUCAGAAAUAAAUGCCCCGACAAAGCACAAAACACACAUUUACCUCAAAAGAAUUGGCUGGGAAAGCUAAAAGAUACUGCAUACGAGCUGGAGGACAUCAUGGACGAAUAUGCCUAUUAAGAAUUGAGGUUGGAGCAACAAGGAGAAUCAUACAAGGUACAAUGCUCUUGCUUAUCCUCUUUGCAACCCUAGCAUGUUGUUUUCCGUUACAAAAUUGCUGAGAGAAUCAAAAGUAUAAGUGAGAGAUUAGGUGAUAUUGCUAAAGAAAGGGAGCAGCUUCAUUUGAUUGAGACAGACUCGGAGAGAAGAAGUGGAGUCGCUGAUUCGCGCAAAACUAACUUCUCCAUUACAAUUGAUAAUCCGAGACUACUUUCUUUUGAGAACAGAGAAAUUAUUGAAGUUGGUUUUGCUUUCGAUCAAAGUCUUCUCCAUUGCAUGAUUAACUAAAAUAAACAACUAAAGUGCCACCGUUGGUUGGUCUUUUACACCCAGUUAAUUGUUAAAACAUUUAGCAAUGAUUUGUUGUUUU